This is a non-coding RNA of Schistosoma rodhaini, 78 nucleotides long. Lineage: Eukaryota; Metazoa; Platyhelminthes; Trematoda; Strigeidida; Schistosomatidae. The record is from Rfam.
AGCUUUUUGAAUCCGUGCAGAAAUUUUGUCAGACACCAACCCGUUGGGGUUGAUCAGAUUUUCAAGACAAGUGAAGUU